Molecule: ribosomal RNA, 371 nt
Filed under: uncultured organism
Description: bacterial SSU rRNA
Rfam family: Bacterial small subunit ribosomal RNA
Source: RNAcentral
CGAAGGGGGCUAGCGUUGCUCGGAAUCACUGGGCGUAAAGGGCGCGUAGGCGGCCCUGUUGGUCGGGCGUGAAAUCCCCGGGCUCAACCCGGGGGCUGCGCCCGAAACGGCGGGGCUGGAGGCAAGGAGAGGCUCGCGGAAUUCCCAGUGUAGAGGUGAAAUUCGUAGAUAUUGGGAAGAACACCGGUGGCGAAGGCGGCGAGCUGGCCUUGAACUGACGCUGAGGCGCGACAGCGUGGGGAGCAAACAGGAUUAGAUACCCUGGUAGUCCACGCCGUAAACGAUGUGCGCUGGGUGUUGGGGGGCCUAGCCCCUCAGUGCCGCAGCCAACGCGGUAAGCGCACCGCCUGGGGAGUACGGCCGCAAGGUUG